Molecule: non-coding RNA, 158 nt
Filed under: human gut metagenome
Description: FMN riboswitch (RFN element)
Rfam family: FMN riboswitch aptamer (RFN element)
About the family: The RFN element is a highly conserved domain that is found frequently in the 5'-untranslated regions of prokaryotic mRNAs that encode for flavin mononucleotide (FMN) biosynthesis and transport proteins. This element is a metabolite-dependent riboswitch that directly binds FMN in the absence of proteins.
Source: RNAcentral
AUCUUCAGGGCAGGGUUAAAUUCCCGACCGGCGGUAAAGUCCGCGAGCAAUGAACUCUAUUUAUUGAUUGCCAAACUUCAAGAGCAUAGCAAGAAAUAAAGUUUGCAUGAUUCGGUGAGAUUCCGAAACCGACAGUAAAGUCUGGAUGGAAGAAGGUA